RNAcentral lists this ribosomal RNA (442 nucleotides) under uncultured bacterium. RNAcentral describes it as "partial 16S ribosomal RNA". It matches the Rfam family "Bacterial small subunit ribosomal RNA", at positions 338 to 795 of the family's 1533-position model. The record is from RNAcentral.
CCUACGGGGGGCUGCAGUGGGGGAUAUUGCACAAUGGGGGAAACCCUGAUGCAGCGACGCCGCGUGGGCGAAGAAGUAUUUCGGCAUGUAAAGCCCUAUCAGCAGGGAAGAAGCAAUGACGGUACCUGAGUAAGAAGCACCGGCUAAAUACGUGCCAGCAGCCGCGGUAAUACGUAGGGUGCAAGCGUUAUCCGGAUUGACUGGGGGUAAAGGGAGCGCAGGCGGCACGGCAAGCCUGAUGUGAAAGCCCGCGGCCCAACCGCGGGACUGCAUUGGGAACUACCGGGCUGGAGUGCCGGAGAGGUAGGCGGAAUUCCUAGUGUAGCGGUGAAAUGCGUAGAUAUUAGGAGGAACACCAGUGGCGAAGGCGGCCUGCUGGACGGUGACUGACGCUGAGGCUCGAAAGCGUGGGGAGCAAACAGGAUUAGAUACCCGUGUAGUC